UGACGCAGCGACGCCGCGUGAGUGAUGAAGGCCUUCGGGUCGUAAAGCUCUGUCCUCAGGGAAGAAGCAAGUGACGGUACCUGAGGAGGAAGCCCCGGCUAACUACGUGCCAGCAGCCGCGGUA
Molecule: ribosomal RNA, 124 nt
Filed under: uncultured bacterium
Lineage: Bacteria
Description: partial 16S ribosomal RNA
Rfam family: Bacterial small subunit ribosomal RNA
Source: RNAcentral